GACGAACGCUGGCGGCGUGCCUAAUACAUGCAAGUAGAACGCACAGUUUAUACCGUAGCUUGCUACACCAUAGACUGUGAGUUACGAACGGGUGAGUCACGCGUAGGUAACCUGCCUGGUAGCGGGGGAUAACUAUUGGAAACGAUAGCUAAUACCGCAUAAUAUUGAUUAUUGCAUGAUAAUUGAUUGAAAGAUGCUAUUGCAUCACUACCAGAUGGACCUGCGUUGUAUUAGCUAGUAGGUGAGGUAACGGCUCACCUAGGCGACGAUACAUAGCCGACCUGAGAGGGUGAUCGGCCACACUGGGACUGAGACACGGCCCAGACUCCUACGGGAGGCAGCAGUAGGGAAUCUUCGGCAAUGGACGAAAGUCUGACCGAGCAACGCCGCGUGAGUGAAGAAGGUUUUCGGAUCGUAAAGCUCUGUUGUAAGAGAAGAACGGGUGUGAGAGUGGAAAGUUCACACUGUGACGGUAUCUUACCAGAAAGGGACGGCUAACUACGUG
RNAcentral lists this ribosomal RNA (505 nucleotides) under uncultured bacterium. RNAcentral's name for it is "partial 16S ribosomal RNA". It matches the Rfam family "Bacterial small subunit ribosomal RNA", at positions 28 to 507 of the family's 1533-position model. The record is from RNAcentral.